RNAcentral lists this ribosomal RNA (246 nucleotides) under Triticum aestivum (bread wheat). RNAcentral's name for it is "partial small subunit ribosomal RNA". The record is from RNAcentral. Lineage: Eukaryota; Viridiplantae; Streptophyta; Magnoliopsida; Poales; Poaceae.
AUGUGUGCACCAAAAAACCAAGGAGGAAUGGGUUUCCGUGAUAUCCACUGUUUCAACAUGGCUUUGCUCGCCAAACAGGCAUGGAGUCUCAUUGAUAAUCCUGAUUCCUUGUGUGCUACUAUUCUGUGAGCCAAGUACUAUCUUGAUGGCGAUUUGAUGAAGUCCAGGCCAAAGCGUGGCACUUCCUUCACAUGGCGAAGCAUUAUGGCAGGCAUAAAUACCCUGAAAUGUGGCUACAUUUGGUGA